GUCGAUGUGGCUCAGCCUGGUUAGAGCGCAUGACUCAUAAUCAUGAGGCCGAGGGUUCAAAUCCCUCUAUCGACACCA
Molecule: transfer RNA, 78 nt
Filed under: Nanobdellota archaeon
Lineage: Archaea; Nanobdellati; Nanobdellota
Description: tRNA-Met
Rfam family: tRNA
About the family: Transfer RNA (tRNA) molecules are approximately 80 nucleotides in length.
Source: RNAcentral